Molecule: unclassified non-coding RNA, 333 nt
Filed under: fungal sp.
Lineage: Eukaryota; Fungi
Description: partial internal transcribed spacer region
Rfam family: Eukaryotic small subunit ribosomal RNA (bases 1-46)
Source: RNAcentral
AAGUCGUAACAAGGUUUCCGUAGGUGAACCUGCGGAAGGAUCAUUAACACGUAUCCAAACGUUAAAACCCCCCCCCGUGAACUUUCAAUCCUGCUCUUGUAACCCGCGUAGUUCGCAAUCUCUGGUAAAUCAUAGCCCGGAAAGUUGUUUGAUUCAGAGACCUCUGCCAGUUGUUCGGUUUUUCAUUAAACUGUGGGGUUAUAAGGGGGCAUGGGGACCCUUUGGCAUAGCUCCUGCCCGAGUGUACGGUCUACAGGAAUCGUGAUCCUUGCACAAUCAAUGACACUUUCCGACACUGACUGCUUGGGGAAACAAUCUACCGCUAUCUUGGUU